This 543-nucleotide ribosomal RNA is filed under the name uncultured Campylobacter sp. RNAcentral describes it as "bacterial SSU rRNA". It matches the Rfam family "Bacterial small subunit ribosomal RNA", at positions 597 to 1136 of the family's 1533-position model. The record is from RNAcentral. Lineage: Bacteria; Pseudomonadati; Campylobacterota; Epsilonproteobacteria; Campylobacterales; Campylobacteraceae.
AAAUCCUAUGGCUUAACCAUAGAACUGCUUGGGAAACUGAUAAUCUAGAGUGAGGGAGAGGCAGAUGGAAUUGGUGGUGUAGGGGUAAAAUCCGUAGAGAUCACCAGGAAUACCCAUUGCGAAGGCGAUCUGCUGGAACUCAACUGACGCUAAUGCGUGAAAGCGUGGGGAGCAAACAGGAUUAGAUACCCUGGUAGUCCACGCCCUAAACGAUGUAUACUAGUUGUUGCUAAGCUAGUCUUGGCAGUAAUGCACCUAACGGAUUAAGUAUACCGCCUGGGGAGUACGGUCGCAAGAUUAAAACUCAAAGGAAUAGACGGGGACCCGCACAAGCGGUGGAGCAUGUGGUUUAAUUCGAAGAUACGCGAAGAACCUUACCCGGACUUGAUAUCUAACAAAUCAUCUAGAGAUAGAAGAGUGUCUGCUCGCAGAAAUGUUAAGACAGGUGCUGCACGGCUGUCGUCAGCUCGUGUCGUGAGAUGUUGGGUUAAGUCCCGCAACGAGCGCAACCCACGUCAUUAGUUGCUAACAGUUCAGCUGAGC